CGUAAUAUAAGAAUCGUCUCUUAACUUUAACUAAAAAAAACUAAGAACCGUCUCUUAAAACUCUUAUUAAGAGUCGGUUCUUAGCUUUUUUUAGUUAAGAGUUAAGAGACGAUUCUUAUGUUAUG
This is a non-coding RNA of Brassica napus (rape), 125 nucleotides long. NCBI's taxonomy places the organism in Eukaryota, Viridiplantae, Streptophyta, Magnoliopsida, Brassicales, Brassicaceae. The record is from Rfam.